GGGGGGAGCUGCCUGCCUGCCCACGCACCUUGGUGGGUCAGGAUGGCGUGCCAUGGGGCUCCCUCCCAGCGCCCCAGCAAGCUUUCCCAAGCAUGCUGGUGCGUUUUUCCAUGGCCAUGUGGGAAAUUCGACCGAGUCAAAAAUAGUCCACGCCGAAUCCAGGUCGUACGUGUCCCGGUUCUGGCUGGUCCAACGGAAAAAUGUGGGCAUCUCGUAGUGAGCUUAUCCGGCACCAUGACACAUUUGGCGUGCAGCAAGUUCUUUGCUUGUUCCUCAAGGUCCAAGUCAAAAAUCUUGAUGCCUUCGUCCCUUUGGUCGAGGUGCCGGUCUGGCAUCACAGUGGGUAGUUGCGGUCAUCCCUCGGACGUGCCGAGGCAUCCAGUGUGACCCGUUCCGCACGGAAGGUUGUGGCGCUAGGUGAAGCCUUCACGGGCAUAUCCUUAGCACGAAGGGGGCAAGUUCCCAAUCAUCCGGAAGUGCACUAUGGGCGGUUCAUCAUGGUCGAAGCCAAGGCGCGGCCGUGUUUGACGCGAUCAGCAACGUCUCUCCAGUCGCCUCGUCCCUCGGAAAAGUGUGCUCUGUUGAGGUGCCGGCCUGGCCUCACAGUGCCGAGAUGGGUAGUUGUGCGCAUCCCUCGGACGCGCCGAGGCUUCUAGUGUGACCCGUUCGGCACGGAAGGAUGUGGGUCUACGCGUUCCCUUCAGUGGCAUAUCCGUAGCACUGAGGGGCAAGUUCCCAAACAUCCGGAAGUGCACUCUGGGCGGUUCAACGCGGUCGAAGCCAAGGCAAGGCCAUGGUUGAAGCAAUCAGCAACGUCUCUCCAGUCGCCUCGUCCCUCGGAAAAGUGUUCUCUGUUGAGGUGCCGGCCUGGCCUCACAGUGCGGAGAUGGGUGGUUGUGCGCAUCCCUUGGACGCGCCGAUGCUUCUAGUGUGACCCGUUCGGCACGGAAGGAUGUGGGUCUACGCGUUCCCUUCAGUGGCAUAUCCGUAGCACUGAGGGGCAAGUUCCCAAACAUCCGGAAGUGCACUCUGGGCGGUUCAGCACGGUCGAAGCCGAGGCAAGGCCAAGGUUGAAGCAAUCAGCAACGUCUCUCCAGUCGCCUCGUCCCUCGGAAAUGUGUGCUCUGUUGAGGUGCCGGCCCGGCCUCACAGUGUCGAGAUGGGUAGUUGUGGGCAUCCCUCGGACGUGCCGAGGCUUCUCGUGUGGACCGUUCUGCACGGAAGGAUGUGGCGCUAGGUGUUGCCUUAAUGGGCAUAGCCGUAGCACGAAGGGGCAAGUGUCCAAGCAUCCGGAAGUGCACUUUUGGCGGUUGAACAUGGUUGAGGCCAUGGCGCGGUAGUGGUUGAGGCCAUCAGCAUCGUCUCUGCAGUCGCCUCGUCCCUCGGAAAUGUGUGCUCUGUUGAGGUGCCGGCCUGGCCUCACAGUGCCGAGAUGGGUAGUUGUGGGCAUCCCUCGGACGUGCCGAGGCUUCUCGUGUGACCCGUUCUGCACGGAAGGAUGUGGCGCUAGGUGUUGCUCUAAUGGGCAUGGCCGUAGCACGAAGGGGCAAGUUUCCAAGCAUCCGGAAGUGCACUUUUGGCGGUUGAACAUGGUUGAGGCCAUGGCGCGUUUGUGGUUGAGGCCAUCAGCAACGUGUCCCCUGUUGCCUGUCCCUCGGAAAAGUGUGCGCUGUUGAGGUGCCUGCCUGGCCUCACAGUGCCGAGAUGGGUUGUUGCGGAUACCUCGGAAUUGUCGUGUGUUCAUGUGUGGCCUGAUCUGCACGGAUGGUUUUGGUAAUAUCUUCAGGCACGAAGGGUCAAGUUCCCAAGCAUCCGGAAGUGCACCCUGGGCGGUUCAACACGGUUGGAGCCAUGGGGCGGUCGUGGUCGAAUCAAUCAACAAUGUUUCUCCUGUCGCCUUGUCCCUCGGGAAAGUGUUCUGUUGAGGUGCCGGCCUGGCCUCACAGUGCAGAGUUGGUUUGUUGCGGGGAUCCCUCGGAAUUGUCGUGGCUUCUACUGUGGCCCGUUCUGCACGGAAGGUUGUGGUGCUCGGUGAACCCUUCAUGGGCGUAGCCGCAGCACCAUGGGUCAAGUUCCCAAUCAUCCGGAAGUGCACCCUGGGCUGUUCAACACGGUUGGAGCCAUGGGGCGGACGUGGUCGAAUCAAUCAGCAAUGUUUCUCCUGUCGCCUUGUCCCUCGGAAAAGUGUUCUGUCGAGGUGCCGGCCUGGCCUCACAGUGCAGGGUUGGUUUGUUGCGGGGAUCCCUCGGAAUUGUCGUUGCUUCUACCGAGGCCCGUUGUUCACGGAAGGUUGUGGUGCUCGGUGAACCCUUCUUGGGCGUAUCCGCAGCACCAUGCAUGGGUCAAGUUCCCAAGCAUCCGGAAGUGCACCCUGGGCUGUUCAACACGGUUGGAGCCAUGGGGCGGUCGUGGUCGAAUCAAUCAGCAAUGUUUCUCCUGUCGCCUUGUCCCUCGGGAAAGUGUUCUGUUGAGGUGCCGGCCUGGCCUCACAGUGCAGAGUUGGUUUGUUGCGGGGAUCCCUCGGAAUUGUCGUGCCUUCUACUGUGGCACGUUCUGCACGGAAGGUUGUGGUGCUCGGUGAACCCUUCAUGGGCAUAUAUGCAGAGCACGAAGGGGCGUAAGUCCCAUAAUCUGGUAGUGUGUUGUGGGUGGUUCCCAUGGCGGAAGCGAGGGUC
Molecule: non-coding RNA, 2675 nt
Organism: Lupinus albus (white lupine)
Lineage: Eukaryota; Viridiplantae; Streptophyta; Magnoliopsida; Fabales; Fabaceae
Source: the annotation of a GenBank genome assembly